AUGAGCUUUGCUCUUCUGGGCGCUGGGCGCUCCCGUGGUUCGCGAGAAGGAAAAAGGACUAAUCUUUUGUUACAUCUGGCACGAGAUGAAAAAGAGAGAGCUUCGUCUAUCGAUGAACAGCAGAUUGACGGAGCUCUUGGCAUUGCUUUGUUUUUCUCUCCUUUCCUAUCAGCGAGUUCCGAUCCUUUUGUUCGAAAUUUCUUCGUUCGUACCGAACCGCUUGCAGAAUCAAAUCCAGUUCCACAAGAUCCUAUAUCAGCUAUACAUCCUCCUUGCAUUUAUGCCGGAGAUGUCGCCAGUGCUAUGGGCUUUGGGUUAUGUAGAUCAAAAAUGAUGAAUGGGAUUGUGGCACUCCACUCGCCGCCAAUGCGGAAGGAUGCCGCCGAAAAGAAUGGAACGCUGCUUCGCUCUGCUGGAUGCGUCGGAUCCCAUAUAAGAAGCUCGCUCUUUACCCGAUCAUUCAAACAUUUUGUGGGCGGCGCGCCUGCUCUAUUGUUGCGUAGCAAUAGAAGCCUGCUCAUGCUGCUUCGGCGGCGCUUUUUCGCCUUCUCUUCGCUCUGGACAGGAGCGCUAAUGGACACGGGGAGGGAGCAGGCGAAGUGUGUCGUUCGUAAUGGAAAGAAAGACACCGCUACUUCGCCUCUUUGUUGGACCGCCGGCGCGAACACGGUGGUCUCUGACCAGGACCAGGAACCAAUUCGAAUUUGGAUCUUGACAUGUCGGUUGUUUUUAACCGUAGGCAUCUCGCCAGGAAGUUGGUGGGCUCAUCAUGAAUUAGGUCGGGGUGGCUGGUGGUUUCGGGAUCCCGUAGAAAAUGCGUCUUUUAUGCCUCGGGUAUUAGCCACAGCUCGUAUUCAUUCAGUAAUUCUACCCCUUCUUCAUUCUUGGACCUCGCUUCUGAAUAUUUUGACUCUUCCAUGCUGUGUCUUAGGAACCUUUUCAAUACGGUCCGGAUUGCUAGCUCCCGUUCAUAGUUCCGCUACAGACGAUACACGAGGAAGAUUUUUAUGGCGGUUCUUCCUUCUAAUUACAGGCAUAUCUAUGACUCUUUUUUACCAGAUGAAGCAGGAGGCAUCGGUCCGUAGAACCUAUAAAAAAGAGAUGGUUGUGGCGCGAAGUACUCUUGUGCACCUACGUCACUCGGCUCGCACGCAACCCCGCCCCGUUAUGUUAUGUUAUGGAAGAAUUUAG
RNAcentral lists this ribosomal RNA (1191 nucleotides) under Triticum aestivum (bread wheat). RNAcentral describes it as "partial small subunit ribosomal RNA". Lineage: Eukaryota; Viridiplantae; Streptophyta; Magnoliopsida; Poales; Poaceae. The record is from RNAcentral.